Molecule: ribosomal RNA, 1541 nt
Filed under: Klebsiella pneumoniae subsp. pneumoniae 1084
Lineage: Bacteria; Pseudomonadati; Pseudomonadota; Gammaproteobacteria; Enterobacterales; Enterobacteriaceae
Description: 16S ribosomal RNA
Rfam family: Bacterial small subunit ribosomal RNA
Source: RNAcentral
UUAAAUUGAAGAGUUUGAUCAUGGCUCAGAUUGAACGCUGGCGGCAGGCCUAACACAUGCAAGUCGAGCGGUAGCACAGAGAGCUUGCUCUCGGGUGACGAGCGGCGGACGGGUGAGUAAUGUCUGGGAAACUGCCUGAUGGAGGGGGAUAACUACUGGAAACGGUAGCUAAUACCGCAUAAUGUCGCAAGACCAAAGUGGGGGACCUUCGGGCCUCAUGCCAUCAGAUGUGCCCAGAUGGGAUUAGCUAGUAGGUGGGGUAACGGCUCACCUAGGCGACGAUCCCUAGCUGGUCUGAGAGGAUGACCAGCCACACUGGAACUGAGACACGGUCCAGACUCCUACGGGAGGCAGCAGUGGGGAAUAUUGCACAAUGGGCGCAAGCCUGAUGCAGCCAUGCCGCGUGUGUGAAGAAGGCCUUCGGGUUGUAAAGCACUUUCAGCGGGGAGGAAGGCGUUAAGGUUAAUAACCUUGCGAUUGACGUUACCCGCAGAAGAAGCACCGGCUAACUCCGUGCCAGCAGCCGCGGUAAUACGGAGGGUGCAAGCGUUAAUCGGAAUUACUGGGCGUAAAGCGCACGCAGGCGGUCUGUCAAGUCGGAUGUGAAAUCCCCGGGCUCAACCUGGGAACUGCAUUCGAAACUGGCAGGCUAGAGUCUUGUAGAGGGGGGUAGAAUUCCAGGUGUAGCGGUGAAAUGCGUAGAGAUCUGGAGGAAUACCGGUGGCGAAGGCGGCCCCCUGGACAAAGACUGACGCUCAGGUGCGAAAGCGUGGGGAGCAAACAGGAUUAGAUACCCUGGUAGUCCACGCCGUAAACGAUGUCGAUUUGGAGGUUGUGCCCUUGAGGCGUGGCUUCCGGAGCUAACGCGUUAAAUCGACCGCCUGGGGAGUACGGCCGCAAGGUUAAAACUCAAAUGAAUUGACGGGGGCCCGCACAAGCGGUGGAGCAUGUGGUUUAAUUCGAUGCAACGCGAAGAACCUUACCUGGUCUUGACAUCCACAGAACUUUCCAGAGAUGGAUUGGUGCCUUCGGGAACUGUGAGACAGGUGCUGCAUGGCUGUCGUCAGCUCGUGUUGUGAAAUGUUGGGUUAAGUCCCGCAACGAGCGCAACCCUUAUCCUUUGUUGCCAGCGGUCCGGCCGGGAACUCAAAGGAGACUGCCAGUGAUAAACUGGAGGAAGGUGGGGAUGACGUCAAGUCAUCAUGGCCCUUACGACCAGGGCUACACACGUGCUACAAUGGCAUAUACAAAGAGAAGCGACCUCGCGAGAGCAAGCGGACCUCAUAAAGUAUGUCGUAGUCCGGAUUGGAGUCUGCAACUCGACUCCAUGAAGUCGGAAUCGCUAGUAAUCGUAGAUCAGAAUGCUACGGUGAAUACGUUCCCGGGCCUUGUACACACCGCCCGUCACACCAUGGGAGUGGGUUGCAAAAGAAGUAGGUAGCUUAACCUUCGGGAGGGCGCUUACCACUUUGUGAUUCAUGACUGGGGUGAAGUCGUAACAAGGUAACCGUAGGGGAACCUGCGGUUGGAUCACCUCCUUA